Pelodiscus sinensis (Chinese soft-shelled turtle) is the source of this 632-nucleotide non-coding RNA. The record is from RefSeq and is a predicted model, not a curated record. NCBI's taxonomy places the organism in Eukaryota, Metazoa, Chordata, Testudines, Trionychidae.
GGAAAACUUGAGAGGGUCUUACACUUUUAAUCCUCCAGUCAGUGAUUGUCUUGGGACCAUACUGCGGUGAAUUGGCGGAAUAAAAGAAAACUGCUUUCCUGGCCUAUGGUAAACUAAUUAAGUGUUUGACUGACAGAAUGUUGGUGCCAGCAUUGGAAGAAUUGAUCAGCCUCAACUCCAGAUCUCUAUCCUGAGAGACAACAACAGGAUGUACCUUGGAGAAGAGUCUCAGGGUGGAGAAUUUUUGAUUGAAUUCAGAACCAUCAAUCUCAGGGAGCUCCAGUUCACAAGGUUGAGGUAAAAUACUAAUUUCAUUACUAGAUUAAUACUAAGUAGACUACUUGUAAAAAACAAAAUACUGUAGUACUUUCCAAGUAUACAAUAUUUGUUGAUAAGUUACUGAAUGAAGAAUUCUUUUCUUUAAAACUGGACAAAAACUUGGAUUCUUUAUCUGUUUAUGAAUUCUGAAAACAUGGGUCUCUAACUAUUAGCAGUAUUUCAUUUUAUCUCUGCCACUUACUCAGACUGAGACAUUGGGAAGGAUUUCAAAAGUGGUUUCCAAUUUUAGAUAGCUCUGUUUUGAUUGCUCACCUUCAGGCACUGUAAACUUGGUUUUCUAGUAGUAUUGAACA